Molecule: ribosomal RNA, 217 nt
Filed under: uncultured eukaryote
Lineage: Eukaryota
Description: partial 18S ribosomal RNA
Rfam family: Eukaryotic small subunit ribosomal RNA
Source: RNAcentral
CAGGUCUGUGAUGCCCUUAGAUGUUCUGGGCCGCACGCGUGUUACACUGAAGGUAUCAACGUGUCUUCCCUGACCGAGAGGUCCGGGUAACCCGCUGAACCCCCUUCGUGGUAGGGAUCGGAGCUUGCAAUUAUUCUCCGUGAACCAGGAAUGCCCAGUAAGUGCAAGUCAUAAGCUUGCAUUGAUUACGUCCCUGCCGUUUGUACACACCGCCCGU